AUAUAUAUAUAUAUAUAUAUAUUUUUGGAAUUAAAGGCUUUCUCGCAAGAAUUAGAAUCAAAGACCGAGACAACGCUACACGGCAAAUAUGAAGCUGGAUCAAGCACGAAUAGCUUAAAACAAUAUGAUAUGAUUAAACAGGUAGAAUAUAAAGAAAUGGAAAUACUGAUGGGAAGUACCUCUAUAUUGUACUUCAUAGCAGUUCUUCAAGGAUCAUGCAUUUUUUACAGCGCCUGUGUUGACAUGUAACAGUAGAAACAGCACAGGUGGGUUUAAAUGAUAAAUUAAAUGAUCGUUGAUUGCAAUUUAGCUGCUUUAGUUUAAUUUUUUCAAUUUCGUUUUACUUGGAAAAUAAUGCUUGCAGCUGUGCUAUAAACAGCUGCAAUCAACUUAAAGCAAAACAUUACAUACCAAGACAAGGACGACAACACAACGCAAAGUCAAAGAGCAAAACCUACAAACACCUUGUCAUUAUGAAAAAUGAGGAAAGAAAUCAAGAAACCAUCAAACCCAUCCUCCAUGCUAAUGAAUGAAACUAAAUCCAACGGAUGUAACCUUUGACUUGUUUGAUUCAUUUUGGCAUGCAUAUAUACAUACCGAGCCCUGUACUUUAUAAUAGAGACACGCACACUUCAUUUGGCUGCUUUCUUCAAUCACUGCACAUACAACAAUAAUAGCCUGCGGCCUUUAAAGCCCGUGGCAGCUUUACACCAUAUCCACUUCACAGGACAUAUAAUACUUCACUCCAUCUCUGGGAUAUUUAGUGUUUUGACAAUGACAAGGUCCCAACAAAACAGAGCUCCAUAAUAUGUCUUCAUAAGCCUUACAGUAAUGGCUGUUCUCUACCUACAGAGCAAUAAUUCAUCUUCCAUGGUCGCCACUCGAAUAGCAUGGUUGGCUGUUGACGUUAAGUGAUUAGAUUAUUUAGCACGGUAUGCAGACAGAGACAAACAGAUACCGCAUGAAUGUGCAUGUGGGCUUUUAAGUCGACGUUCAAGUGGGGAGAAGAAAGAGACGAGGAAAUGAGUCAAGUCUUCUUUAUGCACGUGUGUGUGCUUGCGGGUGUGCAAAGGAGGAAGAGGAUAAGGGUGCUCUGCCUCAUCAGGGAGAGUCGGUUUAAUAUCCUCAUCGAUCCCAGCUCACCUCGUUACACAUUAACAUUUACGACUAGGAAACACGGUUCAGACACACAGAUGGAGACUCCCGGGUGAGAGGUAGACAGAAAGAUACAGGAGCGCUCUCUAGGAGAGGAGGGCAAAACACCAAUAACAAAUCCCACAGUGUGUAAACAAACCCGAGUAAUAAAGCCUACCGAGUGGCAUCGGUGGUCACCAUGAAUGCUUAAUAAGAAGCCCCAAUAAUUCCCUACGACAGAGAAGAAAGAUACUAAAAUCAUGAGGAUAAAAUAACCAGAUCCUUGCUGAGUCAAGCCGUAGAUGGUGGAAAGUUUAUACAUUAUUUCGAGGUGCUUUACUCUAUUUCUUCUUUAUAUUUACGCUACAUCUCAGCAGGAAAAAUACUUAAAAUAAUAUUCACAGUCAAUAUACAUCCAAAAGUGUACCAGCAACAAGCUGUUCAAUUACAGGAUAUUUUUGGUAGCUAUUAGUAUUAAUUAAAUGAUGAAUAAAAAACCGAGAGAAGUCAGUCAGUCAGUCAUCUUCUAUAUGCUCACCCUCAGAGGGUCGCAGGGGGGCUGGAGCUAAUGUGAGACGGGGUAAACCCUGGACUGGUCGCCAUUCAAUGGCAUUCACACACCUACGGGCCAUCUAGAGUCACCAACGAACCUGAAGCGGUGGGGAUUCCUCCCGGGGCGGCUCACAGUCUCUGCAGCACCGAACGUGACCUGAGAGGACACGGAGAACCCGCUGCUGCUCGCUGCUGAUCAGGUGGUCAACAUUUCAUCCUCUCAGAUCUUUCCUCCCCCUGUGGAGGCUGAACGUGUUGACCUCUGGACCCAACAUUUACUUUUCACAAGAGUCCCCUGUGUCGGGUUAGUACUUCCGCUCAGAGCCGUAGCACAAGUUUUGUGAAUUAUACGACAAGACUGUAAAGAUGGCGCCCGCCCACCGUAAUGCUAACGAGGGCCACGGUGCUCUGAAAGGUCGGCGACCUUGGGUUUCAAAGUUCAGUUUGUUUGAACCCUCGCUCACGUAUCAAGUGCUCCUCUUGGAGCUCACAAAAUAAGGGGCCCAUAAAACCGUGUCUUUGUAAAACACUAUUUAAAGCACUCCCAUGAGUUUUCUCAACAGCACUAGUUAUGUUAGUGCCAUUUACGUGCUUUGAUCGUUUGAAGAGAUCUUCAAAGCACAAAAGAAAACGCUGUCACAGGGUUGUAGAUCUGUAUUGUUGCUCCUGACAUUCACACUUAUACAAUAACCCUUUUUUAAUGUAUAUCCCAUGUACAUAUAUACUGUAGCGGUUCCUGUAUGACAGGAAUGGGACUGUGUACCUCUGUGUGUCAGAGGUUAUCCAAUCACACUGUUCAGGUCAAUGCACUCAGGGUUUUUACCAGGACAGCCUUACUUGGUCCGGUUGAACCAGUAUGUUUCAUAAUGAGAAUUUAUGGGGAACCGGUUUUUGGGCUCCAG
Gasterosteus aculeatus aculeatus (three-spined stickleback) is the source of this 2588-nucleotide long non-coding RNA. The record is from Ensembl. Lineage: Eukaryota; Metazoa; Chordata; Actinopteri; Perciformes; Gasterosteidae.